AUUGAACGCUGGCGGCAGGCUUAACACAUGCAAGUCGAGCGGAGUGAUGGUGCUUGCACUAUCACUUAGCGGCGGACGGGUGAGUAAUGCUUAGGAAUCUGCCUAUUAGUGGGGGACAACAUCUCGAAAGGGAUGCUAAUACCGCAUACGUCCUACGGGAGAAAGCAGGGGAUCACUUGUGACCUUGCGCUAAUAGAUGAGCCUAAGUCGGAUUAGCUAGUUGGUGGGGUAAAGGCCUACCAAGGCGACGAUCUGUGGCGGGUCUGAGAGGAUGAUCCGCCACACUGGGACUGAGACACGGCCCAGACUCCUACGGGAGGCAGCAGGGGGGAAUAUUGGACAAUGGGGGGAACCCUGAUCCAGCCAUGCCGCGUGUGUGAAGAAGGCCUUAUGGUUGUAAAGCACUUUAAGCGAGGAGGAGGCUCUUUUGGUUAAUACCCAAGAUGAGUGGACGUUACUCGCAGAAUAAGCACCGGCUAACUCUGUGCCAGCCGCCGCCGUAA
This 503-nucleotide ribosomal RNA is filed under the name uncultured bacterium. RNAcentral describes it as "partial 16S ribosomal RNA". It matches the Rfam family "Bacterial small subunit ribosomal RNA", at positions 30 to 523 of the family's 1533-position model. The record is from RNAcentral.